This 445-nucleotide ribosomal RNA is filed under the name uncultured bacterium. Its description in RNAcentral is "partial 16S ribosomal RNA". It matches the Rfam family "Bacterial small subunit ribosomal RNA", at positions 354 to 796 of the family's 1533-position model. The record is from RNAcentral.
GUAAGGAAUAUUGGACAAUGGACGCAAGUCUGAUCCAGCCAUGCCGCGUGAAGGAUUAAGGUCCUCUGGAUUGUAAACUUCUUUUAUAAGGGACGAAAAAAGGCUUUUCUAAGUCGUCUGACGGUACCUUAUGAAUAAGCACCGGCUAACUCCGUGCCAGCAGCCGCGGUAAUACGGAGGGUGCAAGCGUUAUCCGGAUUCACUGGGUUUAAAGGGUGCGUAGGCGGGCAGGUAAGUCAGUGGUUAAAUCCUAGAGCUUAACUCUAGAACUGCCAUUGAUACUAUCUGUCUUGAAUAUUGUGGAGGUAAGCGGAAUAUGUCAUGUAGCGGUGAAAUGCUUAGAUAUGACAUAGAACACCUAUUGCGAAGGCAGCUUACUACGCAUAUAUUGACGCUGAGGCACGAAAGCGUGGGGAUCAAACAGGAUUAGAUACCCCAGUAGUCC